AUUUCUGCUCUCAAACAGUUUAAAAGAUCCCUGUGCAGAAAAAGACGUAUUUAGAACAUUUUGGUUGGUGAUAUGUAACAAACUUGAGAUCUUAUAGGAUAGGAGAACACUAGGACACUAAUUAGGAACUGGUCCCAGGAACAAAGACCUUCUGGACUCAUCUGACAAGAUAAGAAUCAUCAAGCAUUCUUCCAGCAGAAAGUGACAAAGCCCUCCUUGAGCUGCUCAUGAGAAUUCACAAAGAUCCCCUGCUAUAUGACCCUACUUGCCCAAUACUCCACUUCAUCAAGGUGAAGUGACCCACCAAGAGAGACUUUCAGGGUCUGGGCAUUACCAGAUAAAAGAUGCCUAUUUUAUUCUGGCUGAAAGCAUGAACAGAAUAAACAAUGAGCUCUGUGAAGAAUGUUCUAUGAACCCGAAUCAAACUCAAACUCCUGUGUCACUCCGGUACGCCUGAUCACUGGAUAUAACCACGUAUUGGUCCAGAACCUCCCUCUCUGUUACUACUCCCUUUGGAUUUAUCCAGUAGUCUUAGACGUCACCAGGGCCAAGCCAUGCA
Homo sapiens (human) is the source of this 559-nucleotide long non-coding RNA. The record is from Ensembl. Lineage: Eukaryota; Metazoa; Chordata; Mammalia; Primates; Hominidae.